GGAUGCGAAUGUGAUGGUGAUGGGCAGCAACGGCAAAUUGAAUUUCAGUUUGGAAAGGAAAAUCAUGGGAUAUGAGGAGACCCCACUUGAGUGACGAUUCGGAUAUCGUCGGGCUUAUGCCUAAAUUUCUAGCCUUAUUAACGGUCCUCACCAUAGGUGAGUCAAGUGCUUAGCGUGGGACUCUACUAUAGCCUGGGAGGCACCGACCCGAGCUUUGGAGGCUCUUCUUACAUGGUGAUAUCUCUUCCGCUCGUUUUAUUUUUCUCAGUUAUGUAAUUGAUUAACCAGCGGGGCUAGUUUUUUGUCUCUGUUUUCGAGAUUUCUGUAUUUGAUUAACCAGUGGGGCUGGUUUGUCUAUUUUUAUGGAAUUCUAGAUUUAAUGUUAUUUGGAUUAUCAAAGAUGCGUGCAAUUAAGUUUUAAAAGUUGAAACAUAGGAAAGUAUAUAAAUUAUGUAUUUGUUAAAUUAUUUAAUUUAUUUUUGUCCACUCAUUCUAAUGUUUUUAAAUUAUUUUCCCCUAGACCCUUCGGUUUUAAAUGCCCAGUUUGCAUACUAAGUUUAAUUGAGGUCAAGCGUACAUGGAGUCGAGACAUAGUUAGAGGCUGCUUCCGCUUAUUCAUUAUUCAUUAUUUUUCUUUCAUUAUAGAUAUGCUCUGAUGACCAUUUGAGAUUGUUGUUGGUUGAUUAAGGCUUGAUGUAUUUUGGGAGAUGUUAUGAACUUGGGGAGCAGGAAGGCUCCAGGAGUUGAGGAUGGAUGUGUUAUAAUAUAAGUGUUUAUUUAGAAUUU
This is an RNA transcript of Fragaria vesca subsp. vesca, 786 nucleotides long. RefSeq lists it as uncharacterized. The transcript has 3 exons. The record is from RefSeq and is a predicted model, not a curated record. NCBI's taxonomy places the organism in Eukaryota, Viridiplantae, Streptophyta, Magnoliopsida, Rosales, Rosaceae.